Molecule: ribosomal RNA, 459 nt
Filed under: uncultured bacterium
Lineage: Bacteria
Description: partial 16S ribosomal RNA
Rfam family: Bacterial small subunit ribosomal RNA
Source: RNAcentral
CCUACGGGCGGCAGCAGUGAGGAAUAUUGGUCAAUGGUCGGGAGACUGAACCAGCCAAGCCGCGUGAGGGAGGAAGGUACAGAGUAUCGUAAACCUCUUUUGUCAGGGAACAAAGGCGGGGACGUGUCCCCGGAUGAGUGUACCUGAAGAAAAAGCAUCGGCUAACUCCGUGCCAGCAGCCGCGGUAAUACGGAGGAUGCGAGCGUUAUCCGGAUUUAUUGGGUUUAAAGGGUGCGCAGGCGGUCUGUUAAGUCAGCGGUCAAAGCCCGGGGCUCAACCCCGGCCCGCCGUUGAAACUGGCAGUCGCGAGUUGGAGAGAAGUAUGCGGAAGGCGCGGUGUAGCGGUGAAAUGCAGAGAUAUCGCGCAGAACUCCGAUUGCGAAGGCAGCAUGCCGGCUCCACACUGACGCUGAGGCACGAAAGCGUGGGUAUCGAACAGGAUUAGAUACCCCUGUAGUC